AUGUGGGCAGUACGGGCCGGCGGGCGCCUUCGGUCUUCGGAAGACAGAGCGCUUACGUGAUCAGGGCGUCGUGGGUUGGGGAUCCCCAUCCCACAUGC
This 98-nucleotide transfer RNA is filed under the name Streptomyces chromofuscus. RNAcentral describes it as "tRNA-Pro". The record is from RNAcentral. Lineage: Bacteria; Bacillati; Actinomycetota; Actinomycetes; Kitasatosporales; Streptomycetaceae.